RNAcentral lists this ribosomal RNA (252 nucleotides) under uncultured bacterium. RNAcentral's name for it is "partial 16S ribosomal RNA". It matches the Rfam family "Bacterial small subunit ribosomal RNA", at positions 524 to 776 of the family's 1533-position model. The record is from RNAcentral.
UACGAGGGGGCGAGCGUUGUUCGGCAUUAUUGGGCGUAAAGGGCUCGUAGGCGGUUUGUCGCGUCGGGAGUGAAAACACGGGGCUUAACCCCGUGCCUGCUUCCGAUACGGGCAGACUAGAGGUAUGCAGGGGAGAACGGAAUUCCUGGUGUAGCGGUGAAAUGCGCAGAUAUCAGGAGGAACACCGGUGGCGAAGGCGGUUCUCUGGGCAUUACCUGACGCUGAGGAGCGAAAGUGUGGGGAGCGAACAGG